AAACUUAGUCUCAGUUCGGAUUGUAGGCUGAAACUCGCCUACAUGAAGCUGGAGUUGCUAGUAAUCGCGAAUCAGCAUGUCGCGGUGAAUACGUUCCCGGGCCUUGUACACACCGCCCGUCACACCAUGAGAGUUGGCAAUACCCAACGUACGUGAUCUAACCCGCAAGGGAGGAAGCGUCCUAAGGUAGGGUCAGCGAUUGGGGUGAAGUCGUAACAAGGUAGC
This 225-nucleotide ribosomal RNA is filed under the name uncultured bacterium. Its description in RNAcentral is "partial 16S ribosomal RNA". It matches the Rfam family "Bacterial small subunit ribosomal RNA", at positions 1278 to 1500 of the family's 1533-position model. The record is from RNAcentral.